This 497-nucleotide ribosomal RNA is filed under the name uncultured bacterium. RNAcentral describes it as "partial 16S ribosomal RNA". It matches the Rfam family "Bacterial small subunit ribosomal RNA", at positions 28 to 507 of the family's 1533-position model. The record is from RNAcentral.
GAUGAACGCUGGCGGCGUGCCUAAUACAUGCAAGUCGAGCGAACAGACGAGGAGCUUGCUCCUCUGACGUUAGCGGCGGACGGGUGAGUAACACGUGGAUAACCUACCUAUAAGACUGGGAUAACUUCGGGAAACCGGAGCUAAUACCGGAUAAUAUAUUGAACCGCAUGGUUCAAUAGUGAAAGACGGUUUUGCUGUCACUUAUAGAUGGAUCCGCGCCGCAUUAGCUAGUUGGUAAGGUAACGGCUUACCAAGGCGACGAUGCGUAGCCGACCUGAGAGGCUGAUCGGCCACAUUGGAACGGGGACACGGUCCAGACUCCUAAGGGAGGGAGCAGAAGGGAAUCGUCCGCAAUGGGCGAAAGCAUGACGGAGCAAGGCGGAGUGAGUGAUGAAGGUCUUCGGAUCGUAAAACUCUGUUAUGAGGGAAGAACAAAUGUGUAAGUAAAUAUGCACGGCGUGACGGUACCUAAUCAGAAAGCCACGGCUAACUACGUG